RNAcentral lists this long non-coding RNA (601 nucleotides) under Columba livia (rock pigeon). RNAcentral describes it as "partial uncharacterized LOC102089706". Lineage: Eukaryota; Metazoa; Chordata; Aves; Columbiformes; Columbidae. The record is from RNAcentral.
ACAAGGGACUCGUAGCUGGCGAGAGUCAGGGCGGUUGUCAGACGCCUCUCAUGUUACCUCACGGAUGCCUCACUGCUGUAGGAAACCGCCGGCCCUCAGCCGGAAGCAAAGCCACGCGUGAACCCCUGAAGACCUGAGGGGUGUUUGAUAGGCACAAGCGUUCAGGCUGGUAUCUGUAUUCUCUAUUCAAGAUAAUCCACGCUGUUGGGAAGAAGAGCAGUAGUAAUGGAAAUCGCAGUGAAAAAACCUUUCUGAACCCCAAUUCCACCUGAGAAGGAUGCUCAGCAAAUCAAUGAGAUGCACCAAAACCUGCAGCGCCUGUAGCCAGCAUCAGUCACCAGAAAGGGCCCAGUUCUUCUCCACGACAACGCCUGACUGCACAUGGCACAACCAGCGCAUCAGAAGUGGAAUGAACCAGGCUACAAAGUUUUGCCUCCGUAUUCAGCUGACCUCUCACCAGCCGCUUGCCACUUCUUCAAGCAUCUUGACAUUGUUCUGCAGGGAGAACACUUCCACAACCAGCAGGAUGCACAAAAUGCUUUCCAAGGGUUCAUCAAAUCUCAAAGCAUGGAUUUUUUACGCUACAGGAAUCAAACUUAUU